AUUCUCUCCAAAAAAUACUGUCCAUACACACCCACUUUCAGUGAGAGAGAGGGUGAGAGAGAGCGAGAGUGCUUGCCCGAGAAAUAGUAAGAUGGUGCAAAGCUCAACCAGAAGCAAAUGGUUCGCUUGUUCUGUUAUUCUCUUCUUCGCUUUGUUUGCUACUGCAAUAUUAGGACAAGAUGGAUUGGUGGCUAACGGUGAUUUUGAAACGCCGCCAUCGAAUGGUUUCCCUAGCGACGCCAUAGCGGACGGCUCCAUCGAAAUCCCCAGUUGGAAAUUAAGGGGCACAGUGGAGCUCGUCUCUUCGGGCCAAAAACAAGGUGGGAUGAUCCUCAUCGUCCCAGGUGGUACACACGCAGUGAGAUUGGGCAACGAUGCAGAGAUAAGCCAAGUAUUUACGGUGGAGAAAGGGUCUAUUUACUCGGUGACUUUUAGUGCGGCUCGCACGUGCGCUCAGCUGGAGUCACUAAACGUAUCAGUGCCACCUGCAUCACAAACAAUAGACUUGCAGACAUUGUACAAUGUGCAAGGGUGGGACCCUUACGCGUGGGCUUUUGAGGCGGAGGAGGAUCAAGCGAAUUUGAUUUUUAGGAAUUUGGGCAUGGAGGAUGAUCCCUCUUGUGGGCCUAUCAUUGAUGACAUUGCCAUCAAGAAGCUCUUUGCUCCUGAUAAACCCAAAGACAAUGCAGUACUAAAUGGUGACUUUGAGGAAGGUCCGUGGAUGUUUAGAAACGUUUCACUAGGGGUGUUGCUGCCCACCAACCUGGACGAAGAAAUCACUUCAUUGCCUGGUUGGACUGUGGAAUCCAACAGGGCUGUUCGCUAUAUUGAUUCCUACCAUUUCUCAGUUCCAGAAGGCAAACGUGCCAUGGAAUUACUCUCAGGCAAGGAAGGAAUAAUUUCCCAAAUGGUUGAAACAACGCCAAA
Molecule: unclassified non-coding RNA, 927 nt
Filed under: Hevea brasiliensis (rubber tree)
Lineage: Eukaryota; Viridiplantae; Streptophyta; Magnoliopsida; Malpighiales; Euphorbiaceae
Source: RNAcentral